CUAAAACCCAAUUUCUCUUUCUUCACAAACAAUGACCCCUCGCUGCCACACUCAUCUCUCGCAACUGACCUAACGCCGCCUGCGCCGAAGAACGUCAAAGAAAACCGUCGAAUCUGCUACCUUUGGAACGCCGAUGAACUUGCUACCAUUGGAACGCCGUCGAACCUGCAACCAUUGGAAAUGACCCAAUUUCCCUUUCUUCACAACCCACAACCUCCUCGCCACACUCCCAUUUCUCGCAACUGACCCAACGCCGCCAGCGUUGAAGAAGCCCCUGCGCCGACGAACCUGCUACUACUGGAACGCCGAACGUUAUGGCUUUAUAAAAACCUUCAUUUUCUUGUGGCAGGCUACUUUCAGAUAUAUCAAGAUUAGAGACCAAAGUUGAGAGGCUAGAGUCGGUAGUACAAGCUAAAGAUAGGGAGAUUGCAACAAUUACACGAACAGAAGCAAAAGCUAAGGCUGCUUUCAAAGCUCAAAUUGACAAGCUACUGCAGGAAAAGGAUGAAUUUCAAAGAAUGGUUAUUGGAAAUUAGGUUAUGGUAGUUGGAUGCUGUGAGAUACAUACUGGUUUCUAUCUAAUAAUUUUAGUACUAAUGUUGUCUUCUGUUUGUGUGCAAAGCAAGUAAGAACUCAACAAAUACUUGAGAUGAAGAAGAAAGAAAAGGAGUACAUCAAAUUGCAGUUGUUGUAUGUUUGUAGGAAAGGCUAAACCAAGUCUUAAUGGAUAAAAAGAAGGAAUCUUGAUCAGGAAUGGAGAUAAUGAAUUUGCUACAGAAAGAAGUCGACAAUGGGGAACUUGGAAUGGCAAGAAGACUGAUAACGAUUUCUAUAAAAAGAUAGUGGAUGCUUAUGAAGUAAAAAAUCAAGAAUUGAUGUCAUAUAAUGCUAAUUUAAAGAUUGUUACGGUCAAUGCAGGUUGACAUGCAGGAUUUCUUAAAUGCUCUUAAUGGACUACCUAAGCAACCACUCACAACAUUAAUUGUUGAUAGGUGAAUUGUUCAUAUGUAGGGGUUGACAUUAUGAAAAUUUAUGUAUAGAGAUGAUAUACUUUUGGGCUAAGUUACUUAAUUAGAUGAUGUUUAGUUGAAUUCUUGGAAAUCUGAUGAAAUUGUUUAUAUUGAUUUUGUAAAUGAUACGAAUAUGAUGCAAAGUUUUGGAAAUGAUAUGAAUAGAUGAUAUUGAGUUGUCA
Long non-coding RNA from Cucumis melo (muskmelon), 1192 nucleotides. RefSeq lists it as uncharacterized. Lineage: Eukaryota; Viridiplantae; Streptophyta; Magnoliopsida; Cucurbitales; Cucurbitaceae. The transcript is spliced from 6 exons. The record is from RefSeq and is a predicted model, not a curated record.